RNAcentral lists this ribosomal RNA (726 nucleotides) under uncultured Glomeromycotina. RNAcentral describes it as "SSU rRNA". It matches the Rfam family "Eukaryotic small subunit ribosomal RNA", at positions 373 to 1100 of the family's 1831-position model. Lineage: Eukaryota; Fungi; Glomeromycota. The record is from RNAcentral.
GGGCACGACACCGGAGAGGGAGCCUGAGAAACGGCUACCANNNNNNNGGAUGGCAGCAGGCGCGCAAAUUACCCAAUCCCGACACGGGGAGGUAGUGACAAUAAAUAACAAUACGGGGUUCUUUAGGAUCUCGUAAUUGGAAUGAGUACAAUUUAAAUCUCUUAACGAGGAACAAUUGGAGGGCAAGUCUGGUGCCAGCAGCCGCGGUAAUUCCAGCUCCAAUAGCGUAUAUUAAAGUUGUUGCAGUUAAAAAGCUCGUAGUUGAAUUUCGGGGUUAGUAGGUUGGUCAUGCCUCUGGUAUGUACUGGUCUCACUGAUUCCUCCUUCCUGAUGAACCGUAAUGCCAUUAAUUUGGUGUUGCGGGGAAUUUGGACUGUUACUUUGAAAAAAUUAGAGUGUUUAAAGCAAGCUAACGCUUGAAUACAUUAGCAUGGAAUAAUGAAAUAGGACGUUCGAUCCUAUUUUGUUGGUUUCUAGGAUUGACGUAAUGAUUAAUAGGGAUAGUUGGGGGCAUUAGUAUUCAAUUGUCAGAGGUGAAAUUCUUGGAUUUAUUGAAGACUAACUACUGCGAAAGCAUUUGCCAAGGAUGUUUUCAUUAAUCAAGAACGAAAGUUAGGGGAUCGAAGACGAUCAGAUACCGUCGUUGUCUUAACCAUAAACUAUGCCGACUAGGAAUCAGACGAUGUUAAUUUUUUAAUGACUCGUUUGGCACCUUACGGGAAACCA